UGGUGACUAAAGAUGUGGCUGGGCUC
Molecule: non-coding RNA, 26 nt
Filed under: Rattus norvegicus (Norway rat)
Lineage: Eukaryota; Metazoa; Chordata; Mammalia; Rodentia; Muridae
Source: RNAcentral